RNA transcript from Pungitius pungitius (ninespine stickleback), 3707 nucleotides. It is a transcript of the gene named protein kinase, AMP-activated, gamma 3b non-catalytic subunit, with no coding region annotated. NCBI's taxonomy places the organism in Eukaryota, Metazoa, Chordata, Actinopteri, Perciformes, Gasterosteidae. The record is from RefSeq and is a predicted model, not a curated record. The transcript is spliced from 13 exons.
CCCCCCCCCCCCCUCCCUCCACCCAGUGCUAGCUGACAUGGUCGGAGGGCGUGACGGAUGACCGGGCGUCGGAGUCCAGGUGUUCUCCGAUCGAUCUGGUGCCAGAGAGGCUGAAAGUCUGCUCCACCCGCCCCCCCCCCGCCCCCAGAACAUGGAGCCUGACGCAGAGGUCCCGUUAUUUGAGAUGGAUGAGGAAGAGGAUGAGGAAGAGGAUGUUCUUUCAAUGAAGAGCACAGGCCGUGCUCUUGCGCCCCCUGCAGGCGUCGACGGUGACGCGUUGGUGUACAUGAACUUCAUGAAGAGUCACUGCUGCUACGACGCCAUGCCCACCAGCUCCAAACUGGUCAUCUUUGACACCACGCUGCAGGUGAAGAAGGCCUUCUUUGCCCUGGUGGCGAACGGCGUGAGGGCCGCCCCCCUGUGGGACAACAAGCUCAAGUGUUUUGUGGGUAUGCUGACCAUCACUGACUUCAUCAACAUUCUCCAUCGGUACUACAAGUCUCCGCUGGUUCAGAUCUAUGAGCUGGAAGAACACAAGAUCGAGACAUGGAGAGAGAUCUAUCUGCAGUACUCCAUCAACAGACUGAUCAGCAUCACUCCGGACUGCAGUCUGUUUGACGCCAUCUACUCCUUGUUGAAGAAUAAGAUCCACCGGCUGCCGGUGAUCGACCCGGCGUCAGGAAACGUGCUGCACAUCCUCACGCACAAACGCAUCCUCAAGUUCCUCCACAUCUUCAGGUCAAAGAUCCCGAAGCCCGACUUUCUUCAGAAGCGCAUCAACCAGGUGUCGAUCGGUACCUUCACGCAGAUCGCCACGGUGCAGGAAACGGCGUCCGUCUUCGACGCUCUGACCAUCUUCGUGGAGCGGCGCGUGUCCGCUCUGCCCGUGGUCAGCGAGCGAGGUAAAGUGGUGGCGCUGUACUCCAGGUUCGACGUCAUAAACCUGGCCGCCCAGAAGAACUACAACAACCUGAACAUGACGAUGCGGGAGGCCGUCUCCUCCAGAGCCUGCUGCAUGGAGGGCGUCCUCAAGUGCUACCCGCACGAGACGCUGGAGACCAUCAUCGACCGCAUCGCCAAGGCCGAGGUGCAUCGGUUGGUUCUGGUGGACGCUGACGAUGUGGUGAGAGGCAUCGUGUCCCUUUCUGACCUCCUCCAAGCCUUGGUUCUCACCCCUGCAGGUAUUGAUGCUCUGUGCUCCUGACUCCAACACUUCACCUCCUGCUCUUUGUCCGUGUGAGCUCCUCCUCCUCCUCCUCCUCCUCCUGUGAAAACUCGUGUUCCAGAGGCUCAUCCUCCUGAAGACCUUUCCUCCCGCUUAACGUUAGGUUUCCUCGUUAGACAGGCUGCAGAAAGUCGGGGGUCCACCUGAAGCCCCCCCCCCCCCACUGCUGUUCAGAUUAACCUCGGCAACCCGUUCUGCUCCCUCACGUCACCUGAAAGCUCACUGUCCUCUGUCCUCUUUGACCUCGACCCGUCUGGAACGCGGCCUCCCUUUUUUUUUUUUUUUUUUUCUGGAGCGCUUUUAAGACUCGUCGUCAUGGGAGGUCACGGCCAACGACGGCAGCGGCCAAACGGACCCUUGUGAUAUUCACCAGGGAUCCCACUGACGAGCGAGGACGGGGGGGGGAAGACAACAGGACAAUAAGUGAGCAGAGGAAUAAGCGUCCCCGAGGUCCCUGGUCCACGUCCCAGUCGGUCCGUGAGCAGCAGUGAAGGCCCCUCUCACCGCGGGGGUCUGAGGCUGCUGGAGUGGAGCUUGGUCCCGUUGGGGAGCUGCUUCAGGAAAGGCUCCUGGUGGCAGAGCUACAGUGACCAAAGGCUCAGAGCAAAACGAAAGUCACGUUUCAUGGGCAGUGGGUGACAUUCUUUCUUUCGUGUCAUAGUUUGUAUUUGUAGAUCACCACACUUAUACUUACAUAUGAAAUAAUUCAUGUUUCUUUCACAUUGUAAGCCUUUAACCUUAUUAUUUCUGUUUGCUAAUACAGAAUUUCUUAUCAUACCUUAUGUUGUCAUGUUUUUAUUUCUACAUUUACUGGUAAAAAGCAGUUUGUACCAACAGGCAUUUUAAUUUGCAGUAACCAUGGUGAUACCCAUAAUACUCUACCGUGUGAUUAUUGAGAUGUAACCCUCGUGUUGACUCAGUAUCCCUCAGCUGAUGUGUGUCUGGAUGAUGAGGAAUGGCCGCCCUGUUUACCAGGGGAGGGUUUGUUAACUCUACCACUUUGAUACAUCCUGGUCACAUGAUCACCACUUUACACGAACACACACACACACACACAUACGCAAUCUAUUUAACAUUAUAUACAACAUUCAUACUGAUGAUACAAGCAAUACCUCUAGAACUAAAAACAAAUAAAAGAAGGUGAACUUUUGGAGACAGUUUUUUUUUUUUUUUCUUGAACUCUCCUGCAGGUGAUGAAGUAAUAAAUAAAAAAAAUAAAGGAUCUUCGCACUCCCUCUGCAUUACGACCACCAAUCAGCAGCUCAGGCUGCUGCGUCCUUGAGCAAACACUCGCGGCCAGAUGCAUCUCGUCCAGCCGACACAACCGAUGAGCGACGCGUGACUGCAGGAAUGGAGCCCAAACUCAGGUAGGAGGCCUCCUCCGACCGGGUCGGGUCAUCAUCUGGUUCUUUUGGUUGGAUUUUGCGCCAGUCUGAUCUAAGUGUGUGUGUGUGUGGUUUUUUGAUGUUGUUUUUUUUGGUGAUCCAGAUCCGAAAGGACUGAGAGUUUGACGGUUUAGUGUAUUUCUGCGUUGGGGUUUACCUGAUGACCCGUGGAGAUGUGACAUUAGUGGUGAACAGCUGUGUGACUCGCAGGUGGGGAGGGUGAGGACGGGUUCUAGGAGGUUCCCUCAAGUCUUUAUUGACCCUGCAGUGAUGCGUCCAAUGAUAUUCAGCUUGGUCCAACGCGGGGACGGUGUCCCUUCCUUCAGUCAGACACCUGUCAGCAUUCCGAUUUGAAGGGUUUGCUCGUCGACUGAAGGACUUGAAACCCUCCUGGUAUCUGAAAAGAAAAGGAAACCUCUGGAUUGUGCAGGAUGGAUCUCUCAGACAGUCGGGGGUGAGCAGUCUGAGGGGCUUGUGGUUAUUGUCAGUAGUUCUUCCUGUUCUUGUAAAUCUGAGGGGGGGGAAAAGAACAAAUAUCAGAAUUUUUUGCAACAUUUUUAAUGUUUUGAUUAUAAACUUAAGUUAACACGACUUAAUACAAAUGGCAUUAAAAAGGUUUUAUUUAAAUGGAAUCCUUAAGGGAUUUAAACGCAAUGCAGUUUUCCUUUUUGGGGGAAAUUCUGAUGCUUACUGAAUGGUCACAGUUAUAUUUACCAAAUAAAAGGAUCAGAAGGAAACUUCGACACGUGGAGACGUGAAUACUCAGACACUCACAACUCCAAAGACCACAGGAGUUCAAAUUUGAAUUUAGUUAAUGUAAUGUUAUACAAUAGCAGCAAUUCAAAUGAAUGCUUUAAGCUGUAUGAACCUUUAACAAUUAUUCAAAUUGUGUCAAACAGGAUGAUGUCAUCCAUAUGAUUUGUAAUCAAUAUUUCUUUUUUAACUUAGUUGCUUCCGCAGUAAUAAAAUCUAAAGUCCGUUUUUUGAAAAGCUUUGACAAAGCUGAAACCACUUGUAGAUCGUUUUCAUACCAAAUACGAGAAGGUUCUCCUCAAGCACUCGUGACUAAGAGAGUUUCAAAAGUAAGAUGUUUCCCC